AAGGUCGUGGCCUCGUUCAAGUAAUCCAGGAUAGGCUGUGCAGGUCCCAAGGGGCCUAUUCUUGGUUACUUGCACGAGGACGCGGGCCUG
RNAcentral lists this microRNA precursor (90 nucleotides) under Nannospalax galili (Upper Galilee mountains blind mole rat). RNAcentral's name for it is "microRNA 26a-1 (ENSNGAG00000003979.1)". It matches the Rfam family "mir-26 microRNA precursor family". From Rfam's summary of the family: The hairpin precursors (represented here) are predicted based on base pairing and cross-species conservation -- their extents are not known. Lineage: Eukaryota; Metazoa; Chordata; Mammalia; Rodentia; Spalacidae. The record is from RNAcentral.